GUCUAUGGCCAUGCUACCCUGAACAAGUCCAAUCGCAUCUGAUCUCGGAAGCUAAGCAGGGUCAGGUCUGGUUAGUACUUAGAUGGGAGACUACCUAGGAAGACCAAAGUGCUGUAGGCA
This 120-nucleotide ribosomal RNA is filed under the name Pteropus alecto (black flying fox). The record is from RNAcentral. Lineage: Eukaryota; Metazoa; Chordata; Mammalia; Chiroptera; Pteropodidae.